This 279-nucleotide long non-coding RNA is filed under the name Prunus persica (peach). RNAcentral's name for it is "long non-coding RNA (PPER_LNC003279)". The record is from RNAcentral. Lineage: Eukaryota; Viridiplantae; Streptophyta; Magnoliopsida; Rosales; Rosaceae.
UUUUAAGUUAGAACGUCCAGGGUUUUGGGACCCCUAGGACGUUCCAUUCUCUUAAGCAUAUUUUGAGGGAGAAAAAACCCGAGUUGGUGUUUCUUAUGGAAACACGAAUGCCGAAAGCUCAAAUGGAGAAAAGAAGAUUGCAAUGUGGUAUGCCAGGGGGAAUUUCUGUGGGAAAAGUAGGGUUGGGGGGAGGUUUAUUAUUGAUGUGGACAACUGGUUGGGAGGUGAAUUUGUUGUCAUACUCGACAGUCAUAUACAUGUAUGAGUUAAAACCCCGGA